UACGUAGGGGGCAAGCGUUGUCCGGAAUCAUUGGGCGUAAAGAGCGUGUAGGCGGCCCGGUAAGUCCGCUGUGAAAGUCCAGGGCUCAACCCUGGAAUGCCGGUGGAUACUGCUGAACUAGAGUGCGGAAGAGGCGAGUGGAAUUCCCGGUGUAGCGGUGAAAUGCGCAGAUAUCGGGAGGAACACCAAUUGCGAAGGCAGCUCGCUGGGACGUUACUGACGCUGAGACGCGAAAGCGUGGGGAGCAAACAGG
This 253-nucleotide ribosomal RNA is filed under the name uncultured bacterium. Its description in RNAcentral is "partial 16S ribosomal RNA". It matches the Rfam family "Bacterial small subunit ribosomal RNA", at positions 524 to 776 of the family's 1533-position model. The record is from RNAcentral.